UAUGAGAGCACCUCUCUUGCCUGUUCA
RNAcentral lists this non-coding RNA (27 nucleotides) under Mus musculus (house mouse). The record is from RNAcentral. Lineage: Eukaryota; Metazoa; Chordata; Mammalia; Rodentia; Muridae.